AGUUUGAUCAUGGCUCAGGACGAACGCUGGCGGCGUGCUUAACACAUGCAAGUCGGGCGGAAAGGCCCUUCGGGGUACUCGAGCGGCGAACGGGUGAGUAACACGUGAGUAAUCUGCCCCAGGCUCUGGGAUAGCCACCGGAAACGGUGAUUAAUACCGGAUACGACAACCGAUUGCAUGAUCUGGUUGUGGAAAGUUUUUCGGCCUGGGAUGUGCUCGCGGCCUAUCUGCUUGUUGGUGAGGUAAUGGCUCACCAAGGCUUCGACGGGUAGCCGGCCUGAGAGGGUGACCGGCCACACUGGGACUGAGACACGGCCCAGACUCCUACGGGAGGCAGCAGUGGGGAAUAUUGGACAAUGGGCGGAAGCCUGAUCCAGCAACGCCGCGUGAGGGAUGACGGCCUUCGGGUUGUAAACCUCUUUCAGCACAGACGAAGCGCAAGUGACGGUAUGUGCAGAAGAAGGACCGGCCAACUACGUGCCAGCAGCCGCGGUAAUACGUAGGGUCCGAGCGUUGUCCGGAAUUAUUGGGCGUAAAGGGCUCGUAGGCGGUCUGUCGCGUCGGGAGUGAAAACCAGGUGCUUAACACCUGGCCUGCUUUCGAUACGGGCAGACUAGAGGUACUCAGGGGAGAAUGGAAUUCCUGGUGUAGCGGUGAAAUGCGCAGAUAUCANGAGGAACACCGGUGGCGAAGGCGGUUCUCUGGGAGUAUCCUGACGCUGAGGAGCGAAAGUGUGGGGAGCGAACAGGAUUAGAUACCCUGGUAGUCCACACCGUAAACGUUGGGCGCUAGGUGUGGGAUCCAUUCCACGGGUUCCGUGCCGCAGCUAACGCAUUAAGCGCCCCGCCUGGGGAGUACGGCCGCAAGGCUAAAACUCAAAGNAAUUGACGGA
This 892-nucleotide ribosomal RNA is filed under the name uncultured bacterium. RNAcentral describes it as "bacterial SSU rRNA". It matches the Rfam family "Bacterial small subunit ribosomal RNA", at positions 10 to 917 of the family's 1533-position model. The record is from RNAcentral.